Molecule: long non-coding RNA, 397 nt
Filed under: Gossypium barbadense (sea-island cotton)
Lineage: Eukaryota; Viridiplantae; Streptophyta; Magnoliopsida; Malvales; Malvaceae
Description: long non-coding RNA (GBAR_LNC020206)
Source: RNAcentral
CAGCAAAUCAAAAAAUAGAAAAAAGAAAAAUGUUAAAUAAAAAAGGAUUCGGGGGAUUUUAUUUCGGAUAAGAAAAGAGGGGAACUCGUUGUAAAGGACGGAUGGUAUCAAAAAAAAAGAUGAAAUAAUACAAAAAAAUUGAAAAGAAUGUAUUUUCUGCUUCUUUUUUUUGAUUCGGUUCUUUUUUCCGAUUCGGUUCUUUUUUCCGAUUCAUUUUUUCUUUCCUUUUCCUUUUUUCAUCAGCUAUAUAUAUAAGGAUAGAUCUAAAAAGGGGGUUGGAAAUUACCUGUUAACGGCGCCGAUGAAGCAUUCUUCUCCUCCGGGCUAAUCGGAGUUGACUGGGCGAAGGCGAGGGGGCUCUCGAGCGGCCUGUUGCUGGAACGGCGCAAAAUGGAGG